Dermacentor albipictus is the source of this 1077-nucleotide long non-coding RNA. RefSeq lists it as uncharacterized. The record is from RefSeq and is a predicted model, not a curated record. Lineage: Eukaryota; Metazoa; Arthropoda; Arachnida; Ixodida; Ixodidae.
ACGGGCAUACAUCAUUGCAGGAUUUCUUUAGUUGAAUGGCGGCUCUUUACGCUCGCAGUUCCUGCGCCUUUUAUCUGCCAUUUAUGCAUCAAUUUAAGAUCUCUUAAAUGUGAAUCCUACUUGUGGUGUCCAACGAAAACUGCAGUCAUCAUGCCUUAUUGCUGCGUGCCGCAAUGGACAGCAUACGAGCAUCGAAUUUUGACGUGCAAUCAAGGCCGCGGCAAUGCCUGGUCGGAAAAGAAGAGAAGGGCUCGAGCGCCUGCUUACCCGGACCCCUGACUUUUCAGGAUCUUCCGUAUCCUUUUCGCAACCCACCUUAGGAAGACUCCGAGGAUACGAACUGUAUAUGGAUGGGGCCACACUAUACAUUAGUUUCCCGGCCGUUCUGCGAUCCAUCCCCCCAACGCCGAGCCAGUGGCUGAAGCUAAUAAAUUCGAAGCGGCCCAAGAAUGUGUGUGGGAAAGGGAACAGGAGAGAAAAGGUGCGGGAGAGGAGGGCAUAGAGCGCCGAACAGGAACGCCCAGAGGACGGCGUCUGCCGAAAAGAAAGAUGGAAAGAAGGAGAGAAAGAAAGCAAGAAGCGCCAAAUGUCUGCGGCCCUUACCGGUCGUCCGCUCAACCUGACGUUCGAGUCGAAGAAGCCGGGUUUCCAGAUGCGCCUCUUUUCGCGAAUGCUCUUCACAUUUUACCCCCCGCUUCCUUUCUUUUUUCUUUUCUCGUCCCUCUAUCUUCCUACGUCGCCUCUUCUCCAUUAAAGUCCCUAGGAGACUUGGGGGAUGUCUAUAGGCGCGAGGGCGAGCUUCUUCGCCUGGCUGGCUUUCGAUGCGUUCGUUGUCUUCUUCUCAUCUGUUCCUCUAUUUCUUUUACGUCCUCACGUCUUCUUUCUUUGUUUCCUUGUUCUUUUUUUGUUUUUACUUGCCAUUCGUUCACGCUUUUCGUUCUGUCUCACUCCUGCCGUUCUCCUGUUUUCUUCUGCACUUACGGCUUUCACGCACGAAACUCCGUCCUUUCAUCUCCGCCGCCACUCCCUUCUUCCCGCGUCCUCUUCGGUUCGUCUUUGGUUGGCGUAAGGUCGCCC